Molecule: ribosomal RNA, 292 nt
Filed under: uncultured bacterium
Lineage: Bacteria
Description: partial 16S ribosomal RNA
Rfam family: Bacterial small subunit ribosomal RNA
Source: RNAcentral
GUGCCAGCCGCCGCGGUAAUACGGAGGGGGGUAGCGUUGUUCGGAAUUACUGGGCGUAAAGCGCGCGUAGGCGGACUAUUAAGUCAGGGGUGAAAUCCCGGGGCUCAACCCCGGAACUGCCUUUGAUACUGGUAGUCUAGAGUUCGAGAGAGGUGAGUGGAACUCCGAGAGUAGAGGUGAAAUUCGUAGAUAUUCGGAAGAACACCAGUGGCGAAGGCGGCUCACUGGCUCGAUACUGACGCUGAGGUGCGAAAGUGUGGGGAGCAUACAGGAUUAGAAACCCCUGUAGUCC